AACAACAUGGACAAAGGGGUGAUAGCCCAUCUCGACGAUGCAUCUCUCAUACUCACUUACCAAGCAUUUGCACCCUGGGGAAAUGCUGUUAUCUACACUGAGCUCUGGAUCAUAAAUCAGUAGAGAGCAAUAAUACGAGCCAAGCCCUGUCCUUACAGCUUGCCUUAGGGCAGAAGAUGGACCAGAAAUUGGCGCCUUGGGUGAAGAAUCCUCCAAUUAUGGCUUACAAGAGAUCCUCCAACCUAAGAGACAAAUUGGUACAUGCUAUAAAUGAGCCUCCAAAAAAGCAGGGUACAUGGCUGAGUGGAACUAAAGAGUAUUUCACAGACUGUGAUGUUGCAUUGAUGAGACACAUUUAAUCCAUGAAAAAGGAUGAGAGAGACAUGAUGUCAUUUACUAUUGCACGGGAUAGAAUUAUUAUUCCUGUAUUCUUUGACAUGGGUUUUGUUUAAUGACACUAUAUGUGUUCUGAAAUGAAUUGUUACAAUACACAAUAUA
This is a long non-coding RNA of Xenopus laevis (African clawed frog), 498 nucleotides long. RefSeq lists it as uncharacterized. The record is from RefSeq and is a predicted model, not a curated record. NCBI's taxonomy places the organism in Eukaryota, Metazoa, Chordata, Amphibia, Anura, Pipidae. The transcript has 3 exons.